GCAGAAGGACGGGUGCCAAAGGCAGCAAGGGGAGGGCAGAAGUGGGCGGAGCAUCAGGCUAUGCUCCCAUGCCACAGAUGAUUUGCUCUGACGCUA
RNAcentral lists this unclassified non-coding RNA (96 nucleotides) under Mus musculus (house mouse). RNAcentral's name for it is "partial C/D box snoRNA; small non-messenger RNA (snmRNA)". Lineage: Eukaryota; Metazoa; Chordata; Mammalia; Rodentia; Muridae. The record is from RNAcentral.